CUAGCAGUAUCAGUAGUUUGUAGUCCUGGCUCAGGACGAACGCUGGCGGCGUGCUUAACACAUGCAAGUCGAACGAUGAAGCCCAGCUUGCUGGGUGGAAGAGUGGCGAACGGGUGAGUAACACGUGAGUAACCUGCCCCUGACUCUGGGAUAAGCGCUGGAAACGGCGUCUAAUACUGGAUAUGAGCAAUGGCCGCAUGGUCUGUUGUUGGAAAGAUUUAUCGGUUGGGGAUGGACUCGCGGCCUAUCAGCUUGAUGGUGAGGUAAUGGCUCACCAUGGCGACGACGGGUAGCCGGCCUGAGAGGGUGACCGGCCACACUGGGACUGAGACACGGCCCAG
This 341-nucleotide ribosomal RNA is filed under the name uncultured bacterium. Its description in RNAcentral is "bacterial SSU rRNA". It matches the Rfam family "Bacterial small subunit ribosomal RNA", at positions 1 to 334 of the family's 1533-position model. The record is from RNAcentral.